AGCUCUUGGUGCUUACCAUACGCUAUAGUCUUAUGCUGACUGUAUAAAAAGGGGAAGCAGGAUAAAUCUACACCAUGCACACCUCAGCCUAGGCCACUGUGCCUGUCUGUAUUGUAAUGGGGAAACCUGG
Small nucleolar RNA from Meriones unguiculatus (Mongolian gerbil), 130 nucleotides. The record is from Ensembl. NCBI's taxonomy places the organism in Eukaryota, Metazoa, Chordata, Mammalia, Rodentia, Muridae.